GGCUGGUCCAAAGGUAGCCAGUUAUUUUGAUUGUUCACACAGAUUGAACUCCUUGUUCUACUCUUUUCCCAUUUCUCACUCCUGCACUUGACUAGUCUUAA
Molecule: unclassified non-coding RNA, 101 nt
Organism: Otolemur garnettii (small-eared galago)
Lineage: Eukaryota; Metazoa; Chordata; Mammalia; Primates; Galagidae
Rfam family: Y RNA
About the family: Y RNAs are components of the Ro ribonucleoprotein particle (Ro RNP), in association with Ro60 and La proteins. The Y RNAs and Ro60 and La proteins are well conserved, but the function of the Ro RNP is not known. In humans the RNA component can be one of four small RNAs -- hY1, hY3, hY4 and hY5.
Source: Ensembl